UGGGGAAUUUUGGACAAUGGGCGCAAGCCUGAUCCAGCAAUGCCGCGUGCAGGAUGAAGGCCUUCGGGUUGUAAACUGCUUUUGUACGGAACGAAACGGCUCUCUCUAAUAAAGGGGGCUAAUGACGGUACCGUAAGAAUAAGCACCGGCUAACUACGUGCCAGCAGCCGCGGUAAUACGUAGGGUGCGAGCGUUAAUCGGAAUUACUGGGCGUAAAGCGUGCGCAGGCGGUGAUGUAAGACAGAUGUGAAAUCCCCGGGCUCAACCUGGGACCUGCAUUUGUGACUGCAUCGCUAGAGUACGGUAGAGGGGGAUGGAAUUCCGCGUGUAGCAGUGAAAUGCGUAGAUAUGCGGAGGAACACCGAUGGCGAAGGCAAUCCCCUGGACCUGUACUGACGCUCAUGCACGAAAGCGUGGGGAGCAAACAGGAUUAGAUACCCUGGUAGUCCACGCCCUAAACGAUGUCAACUGGUUGUUGGGUCUUUACUGACUCAGUAACGAAGCUAACGCGUGAAGUUGACCGCCUGGGGAAGUACGGCCGCAAGGUUG
This 549-nucleotide ribosomal RNA is filed under the name uncultured bacterium. RNAcentral describes it as "bacterial SSU rRNA". It matches the Rfam family "Bacterial small subunit ribosomal RNA", at positions 355 to 896 of the family's 1533-position model. The record is from RNAcentral.